RNAcentral lists this transfer RNA (92 nucleotides) under Lederbergia ruris. RNAcentral describes it as "tRNA-Ser". It matches the Rfam family "tRNA". Rfam says of the family: Transfer RNA (tRNA) molecules are approximately 80 nucleotides in length. Lineage: Bacteria; Bacillati; Bacillota; Bacilli; Caryophanales; Bacillaceae. The record is from RNAcentral. RNAcentral also lists the same sequence under 1 other name.
UGGAGAAGUACCCAAGUCCGGCUGAAGGGGACGCACUCGAAAUGCGUUAGGACGGGCAACUGUCGCGUGGGUUCGAAUCCCACCUUCUCCGU